UCCCUGGUAGCUCAGAUGGUAAAGAACCUGCCUGCAAUGCAGGAGAUCUGGGUGCAAGUCCUGGGUCGGGAA
RNAcentral lists this transfer RNA (72 nucleotides) under Bos taurus (domestic cattle). It matches the Rfam family "tRNA". Rfam says of the family: Transfer RNA (tRNA) molecules are approximately 80 nucleotides in length. Their secondary structure includes four short double-helical elements and three loops (D, anti-codon, and T loops). Further hydrogen bonds mediate the characteristic L-shaped molecular structure. tRNAs have two regions of fundamental functional importance: the anti-codon, which is responsible for specific mRNA codon recognition, and the 3' end, to which the tRNAs corresponding amino acid is attached (by aminoacyl-tRNA synthetases). tRNAs cope with the degeneracy of the genetic code in two manners: having more than one tRNA (with a specific anti-codon) for a particular amino acid; and 'wobble' base-pairing, i.e. permitting non-standard base-pairing at the 3rd anti-codon position. The record is from Rfam by way of RNAcentral. RNAcentral also lists the same sequence under 1 other name. Lineage: Eukaryota; Metazoa; Chordata; Mammalia; Artiodactyla; Bovidae.